GACGAACGCUGGCGGCGCGCCUAACACAUGCAAGUCGAACGAGCGAGAGAGAGCUUGCUUUCUCGAGCGAGUGGCGAACGGGUGAGUAACGCGUGAGGAACCUGCCUCAAAGAGGGGGACAACAGUUGGAAACGACUGCUAAUACCGCAUAAGCCCACGGCUCGGCAUCGAGCAGGGGGAAAAGGAGCAAUCCGCUUUGAGAUGGCCUCGCGUCCGAUUAGCUAGUUGGUGGGGUAACGGCCCACCAAGGCGACGAUCGGUAGCCGGACUGAGAGGUUGAACGGCCACAGUGGGACUGAGACACGGCCCAGACUCCUACGGGAGGCAGCGGUGGGGAAUAUUGCACAAUGGGGGAAACCCUGAUGCAGCGACGCCGCGGGGAGGAAGAAGGUCUUCGGAUUGUAAACUCCUGUUGUUGGGGAAGAUAAUGACGGUACCCAACAAGGAAGUGACGGCUAACUACGUG
This 466-nucleotide ribosomal RNA is filed under the name uncultured bacterium. RNAcentral describes it as "partial 16S ribosomal RNA". It matches the Rfam family "Bacterial small subunit ribosomal RNA", at positions 28 to 507 of the family's 1533-position model. The record is from RNAcentral.